UAAAACCAGCACCUCAAGUGGUCAGGAGGAUUAUUGGGCCUAAAGCAUCCGUAGCCUGCUCUGUAAGUUUCCGGUUAAAUCCAUUAGCUUAACUGAUGGGCCGCCGGAAAAACUGCAGAGCUAGGGAGUGGGAGAGGUAGACGGUACUCGGUAGGAAGGGGUAAAAUCCUUUGAUCUAUUGAUGACCACCAGUGGCGAAGGCGGUCUACCAGAACACGUUCGACGGUGAGGGAUGAAAGCUGGGGGAGCAAACCGGAUUAGAUACCCGGGUAGUCCCAGCUGUAAACGAUGCAGACUCGGUGAUGCCCUGGCUUGUGGCCAGUGCAGUGCCGCAGGGAAGCCGUUAAGUUUGCCGCCUGGGAAGUACGUACGCAAGUAUG
RNAcentral lists this ribosomal RNA (380 nucleotides) under uncultured crenarchaeote. RNAcentral describes it as "bacterial SSU rRNA". It matches the Rfam family "Archaeal small subunit ribosomal RNA", at positions 471 to 851 of the family's 1478-position model. Lineage: Archaea; Thermoproteati; Thermoproteota. The record is from RNAcentral.